UCAAAUCAUUAAGUAAUCCAAGA
This 23-nucleotide small nuclear RNA is filed under the name Arabidopsis thaliana (thale cress). RNAcentral describes it as "snRNA_17128". The record is from RNAcentral. Lineage: Eukaryota; Viridiplantae; Streptophyta; Magnoliopsida; Brassicales; Brassicaceae.